CUUUUUGGGGAUAGAGGGACUUGAACCCUCACGAUUUUUAAAGUCGACGG
Molecule: transfer RNA, 50 nt
Filed under: Dyschoriste decumbens
Lineage: Eukaryota; Viridiplantae; Streptophyta; Magnoliopsida; Lamiales; Acanthaceae
Also listed under: 1 other name
Description: partial tRNA-Leu
Source: RNAcentral